CGCCUGUUUAUCAAAAACAUGUCUUUUUGUUAAUUAUUUAAGGUCUGGCCUGCUCCAUGAUUAUUUAAAUAGCCGCAGUAUUUUGACUGUGCAAAGGUAGCAUAAUCAUUAGUUUUUUAAUUGAAAGCUGGAAUGAAUGGUCGGAUGAGAAAAUUUCUGUCUCAUUAUAAAUUUAUUUGAAUUUUAUUUUUAAGUCAAAAAGCUUAAAUUUAAUAUAAAGACGAGAAGACCCUAUAGAGUUUAAUAAUUUAUAUUUCUACUAUUUAAGGGUUUAAAUUUAGUUGUUUUAUAUAUUUAUUUUGUUGGGGUGACAAAAGAAUUGGAAUAACUUCUUUAUAUUUAAACAUUGAUAUAUGAAUAAUUGAUCCUGAUUUUUGGAUUAAAAGAAUAAAUUACCUUAGGGAUAACAGCGUAAUCUUUUUGGAGAGUUCUAAUCAAUAAAAGGGAUUGCGACCUCGAUGUUGGAUUAAAGUUAAUUUAUGGUGCAGAAGCUAUAACUUUG
This 502-nucleotide ribosomal RNA is filed under the name Calydus escherichi. RNAcentral's name for it is "partial large subunit ribosomal RNA". It matches the Rfam family "Bacterial large subunit ribosomal RNA", at positions 1797 to 2574 of the family's 2925-position model. Lineage: Eukaryota; Metazoa; Arthropoda; Insecta; Coleoptera; Meloidae. The record is from RNAcentral.